CCAGACUCCUACGGGAGGCAGCAGUGAGGAAUAUUGGUCAAUGGGCGGGAGCCUGAACCAGCCAAGUCGCGUGAGGGACGACGGUCCUAUGGAUUGUAAACCUCUUUUGUCGGGGAACAAAGGCGCCCACGGGUGGGCGGAUGAGUGUACCCGAAGAAAAAGCAUCGGCUAACUCCGUGCCAGCAGCCGCGGUAAUACGGAGGAUGCGAGCGUUAUCCGGAUUUAUUGGGUUUAAAGGGUGCGUAGGUGGUUAAUUAAGUCAGCGGUGAAAGUUUGUGGCUCAACCAUAAAAUUGCCGUUGAAACUGGUUGACUUGAGUAUAGUUGAGGUAGGCGGAAUGCGUGGUGUAGCGGUGAAAUGCAUAGAUAUCACGCAGAACUCCGAUUGCGAAGGCAGCAUACCGGCGCCCGACUAACGCUGAAGCACGAAAGCGUGGGUAUCGAACAGGAUUAGAUACCCCAGUA
Molecule: ribosomal RNA, 464 nt
Filed under: uncultured bacterium
Lineage: Bacteria
Description: bacterial SSU rRNA
Rfam family: Bacterial small subunit ribosomal RNA
Source: RNAcentral